CCUACGGGUGGCAGCAGUGAGGAAUAUUGGUCAAUGGGCGCGAGCCUGAACCUGCCAAGUCGCGUGAAGGAUGACUGCCCUACGGGUUGUAAACUUCUUUUAUAAAGGAACAAAGUGAGGCACGUGUGCCUUUUUGUAUGUACUUUAUGAAUAAGGAUCGGCUAACUCCGUGCCAGCAGCCGCGGUAAUACGGAGGAUCCGAGCGUUAUCCGGAUUUAUUGGGUUUAAAGGGAGCGUAGAUGGGUUGUUAAGUCAGGUGUGAAAGUUCGCGGCUCAACCGUAAAAUUGCAAUUGAUACUGGGAGUCUUGAGUACAGGUGAGGUAGGCGGAAUGCGUGGUGUAGCGGUGAAAUGCUUAGAUAUCACGAAGAACUCCGAUUGCGAAGGCAGCUUACUGAACUGCAACUGACGUUGAUGCUCGAAGGUGUGGGUAUCGAACAGGAUUAGAUACCCGGGUAGUC
This 460-nucleotide ribosomal RNA is filed under the name uncultured bacterium. RNAcentral describes it as "partial 16S ribosomal RNA". It matches the Rfam family "Bacterial small subunit ribosomal RNA", at positions 338 to 795 of the family's 1533-position model. The record is from RNAcentral.